This is a small nucleolar RNA of Hemiscyllium ocellatum (epaulette shark), 73 nucleotides long. The record is from RefSeq and is a predicted model, not a curated record. NCBI's taxonomy places the organism in Eukaryota, Metazoa, Chordata, Chondrichthyes, Orectolobiformes, Hemiscylliidae.
CUGCAAUGAUGUCAAAUGAAUUUCUUCACCUGAAUGAUCAUGUGGCAUUUUGAGCUUUUUAACCCUGAGCAGU